UCCUUGAUAGCUCAGCUGGUUAGAGCGAGUGACUGUUAAUCACUAGGUCCCUGGUUCGAGUCCAGGUCAGGGAGCAA
Molecule: transfer RNA, 77 nt
Filed under: Bacteroidota bacterium
Lineage: Bacteria; Pseudomonadati; Bacteroidota
Description: Bacteroidetes bacterium (freshwater metagenome) tRNA-Asn
Rfam family: tRNA
About the family: Transfer RNA (tRNA) molecules are approximately 80 nucleotides in length. Their secondary structure includes four short double-helical elements and three loops (D, anti-codon, and T loops).
Source: RNAcentral